This 168-nucleotide ribosomal RNA is filed under the name uncultured bacterium. RNAcentral's name for it is "partial 16S ribosomal RNA". It matches the Rfam family "Bacterial small subunit ribosomal RNA", at positions 337 to 522 of the family's 1533-position model. The record is from RNAcentral.
UCCUACGGGAGGCAGCAGUAAGGAAUCUUCCACAAUGGGGGCAACCCUGAUGGAGCAAUACCGCGUGCAGGAUGAAGCGUUUCGGCGUGUAAACUGCUUUUAUCUGUGAUGAUUAUGACAGUAGCAGAAGAAUAAGGAUCGGCUAACUACGUGCCAGCAGCCGCGGUA